CCGGUAAAUGUACAUAGGACUGAUCUAUUUUUUUCUUUUCUCCAAAUUCUCAGUGUACGCUAUACCGCUGCCCUCACGAGUUUAUACAUUUUGUUUAUUCUAAUGACAGAUCGUAUUUCAGCCUGUCCUAUAUUUGUUGAUGCUGAUGCUUGCAGUUUUGCCUGUUCUUUGUGUUCGUGACAUACAGCGAAGAUUGUAAGAAUUUGUCGCUGUGUGUAAGAUAAACCAUACCAACACUGAACACUGGUGAAGAUGGUCCUUUGACACAACUCGUCACGAAUACAGAACGUAUCUGGCACUAUCAGAAUAAUGCAUUUUAUUUGAGGGAAAGAAGACUAUUCUCGGGUGUGUCGUCUGUCAGUUCGAGUCUAGCAACUGCUAAUAGUGAGCCGUACUGCGCUUUCCACCGCUCCAAAGGACACCUCACAAAAGAUUGCAGAGGUGUACAGCCUGACCCUGGUAAGGCCAUAUGUGACCUUCCUACACCCACCAACUCACAGCAGGUAAGAAGGAUUAUGGGUGCUGCUGGAUAUUUCCGCAGGCAUAUCAAAGAUCACUCUAAAAUAACUGCUCCACUUUCUGAUUUAACUAAGAAGAAUGCCAAGUUUGUAUGGAAGCCAGAACAUGAAAGGGCUUUAGUUAGUUUAAACGUCCUAAUUUUGACUUGCUGUUCGAAAUCCACACAGAUGCAAGUCAGCGAGCCACUGGUGCUUGUUUGAUCCAAAAGCAUGAUGGACAGCCUCACCCAGUUUCUUCUUACAGUCGCAAACUUAGAGGUGCAGAGUUUCGUUAUUCAGCGACUGAGUUGGAGGCUUUAGCUGUUGUUGAAGCUAUUAAAGCAUUUCAUCCAUAUGUAUAUGGCCAUAAAUUUCAUGUCUAUACGGAUCAUAAGCCAUUAAUCUAUAUUUUUAAACGUCCAACUAAAUCAGCUAGAAUGACCCGCUGGAGUCAUGAAAUAAUGAGUUAUGAUUGUAUAGUCUUCUAUAAAG
Molecule: long non-coding RNA, 989 nt
Organism: Penaeus indicus
Lineage: Eukaryota; Metazoa; Arthropoda; Malacostraca; Decapoda; Penaeidae
Exons: 3
Source: RefSeq, a predicted model, not a curated record